Fukomys damarensis (Damara mole-rat) is the source of this 114-nucleotide non-coding RNA. Lineage: Eukaryota; Metazoa; Chordata; Mammalia; Rodentia; Bathyergidae. The record is from Rfam.
GUUGGUUAUGGUGAUAUGCACCCAGUGACCAUUGGGGGCAAGAUUGUGGGCUCUCUUUGUGCUAUCGCGGGUGUCUUGACCAUUGCAUUGCCAGUUCCUGUGAUUGUUUCCAAC